RNAcentral lists this transfer RNA (89 nucleotides) under Colletotrichum orchidophilum. It matches the Rfam family "tRNA". From Rfam's summary of the family: Transfer RNA (tRNA) molecules are approximately 80 nucleotides in length. Their secondary structure includes four short double-helical elements and three loops (D, anti-codon, and T loops). Lineage: Eukaryota; Fungi; Ascomycota; Sordariomycetes; Glomerellales; Glomerellaceae. The record is from Rfam by way of RNAcentral.
UCCCCGAUAGUCUAGUGGUGAGGAUAUCUGCUUGUCAUUGAUAAUACAAAGAUUCGCAGGGGACCGGGGUUCAAUUCCCCGUCGAGGAG